RNAcentral lists this ribosomal RNA (471 nucleotides) under Helicobia rapax. RNAcentral's name for it is "partial 12S ribosomal RNA". The stretch from base 291 to 362 matches the Rfam family "tRNA". Lineage: Eukaryota; Metazoa; Arthropoda; Insecta; Diptera; Sarcophagidae. The record is from RNAcentral.
UAUACCGUCGUUAUUAGAAUAUUUUAUAAGAAUGUUAAUUUUCAAGAUUUUUAAAAAGAAAAUAUAUCAGAUCAAGGUGUAGCUAAUGUUUAAGUUAAAAUGGGUUACAAUAAAAAUAUUUAAACGAAUUUAAAUUUGAAAUAUUUAUUGAAGGUGGAUUUGAUAGUAAAAUUAUAAAGAUAAAUAAUUUGAUUUUAGCUCUAAAAUAUGCACACAUCGCCCGUCACUCUUACUAUUAAGGUAAGAUAAGUCGUAACAUAGUAGAUGUACUGGAAAGUGUACCUAGAAUGCAAUUUAAAGCUUAUUUAGUAAAGUAUUUCAUUUACAUUGAAAAGAUUUUUGUGCAAAUCAAUAUAAAUUGAUUAUUUUUUAUUUAUUAAUUUUAUUGUUUUUUUAAAAAAAAUUAUUAAAAAUAAUUAUAAAUUGAUUUGUUUUAGUACUUUAUAAAGAAAAAAUAAUUUUAAUUAUAGC